Molecule: ribosomal RNA, 460 nt
Filed under: uncultured bacterium
Lineage: Bacteria
Description: partial 16S ribosomal RNA
Rfam family: Bacterial small subunit ribosomal RNA
Source: RNAcentral
CCUACGGGUGGCAGCAGUGAGGAAUAUUGGUCAAUGGCCGUAAGCCUGAACCAGCCAAGUAGCGUGAAGGAAGACUGCCCUAUGGGUUGUAAACCUCUUUUAUGAAGGGAUAAAGUUGUCCACGUGUGGAUGUUUGCAGGUACCGCAUGAAUAAGGACCGGCUAAUUCCGUGCCAGCAGCCGCGGUAAUACGGAGGGUCCGAGCGUUAUCCGGAUUUAUUGGGUUUAAAGGGAGCGUAGACGGGUUGUUAAGCGUGUCGUGAAAGUUUGUGGCUCAACCAUAAGAGUGCGGCGCAAACUGGCGACCUUGAGUGCGCGUAAGGUAGGCGGAAUUCGUGGUGUAGCGGUGAAAUGCUUAGAUAUCACGAAGAACCCCGAUUGCGAAGGCAGCCUGCUGAAGCGUCACUGACGCUGAUGCUCGAAAGCGCGGGUAUCGAACAGGAUUAGAUACCCGAGUAGUC